AUUGCUUCUCGGGCUUUUGGCUUAGAUCAAGUGUAGUAUCUGUUCUCACAGGUUUAAUAAAAUGUUGCAACUAUUUUUUCUCUACAUUUUGUUUAUUGAGACACACU
This is a small nuclear RNA of 107 nucleotides. Its record names the gene U2. It matches the Rfam family "U2 spliceosomal RNA". From Rfam's summary of the family: U2 is a small nuclear RNA (snRNA) component of the spliceosome (involved in pre-mRNA splicing). Complementary binding between U2 snRNA (in an area lying towards the 5' end but 3' to hairpin I) and the branchpoint sequence (BPS) of the intron results the bulging out of an unpaired adenosine, on the BPS, which initiates a nucleophilic attack at the intronic 5' splice site, thus starting the first of two transesterification reactions that mediate splicing. The record is from Ensembl.